Molecule: ribosomal RNA, 503 nt
Filed under: Synalpheus brooksi
Lineage: Eukaryota; Metazoa; Arthropoda; Malacostraca; Decapoda; Alpheidae
Description: partial 16S ribosomal RNA
Rfam family: Bacterial large subunit ribosomal RNA
Source: RNAcentral
AUGUCUGUAUGAAUUGGAUAUUUAGUCUGACCUGCCCACUGAGGUUUAAAGGGCUGCGGUAAUUUGACCGUGCAAAGGUAGCAUAAUCAAUAGUCUUUUAAUUGGAGGCUUGAAUGAAAGGUUUGACGGAGGAGAAGCUGUCUUUUUAUUAAAAUUGAAUUUAACUUUUGUGUAAAAAGGCAUUAAUGAUUUAGAGGGACGAUAAGACCCUAUAAAACUUUAUAUAUUAUAUUUAUUUAAUAAAAUAGUUAAUUAAUUAUUGGUGGUUAAUUAUAUUUUGCUGGGGUGGCAGGAAUAUAAUUCUAACUGUUUUAAAUGUAAAAUAUUUAUUAAUAGAGAGUGGUCCUUUGUUUGAGAGAUGAGAGUAAGUUACUUUAGGGAUAACAGCAUAAUUUCUUUUGAGAGUUCUUAUCGAAGAUGGUAGUUGUGACCUCGAUGUUGAAUUAAAUUUUCCUUUUAAUGUAGGAGUUUUAGGGGAGGGCCUGUUCGGCCUAUAAAUAUUU